GCCAGUUCUGGGACAGCUGAAGUUGAACCAAAUAGGUUUAUGCUCCUUGUUCUACAAUAUCUGUGGUUGUAGUCUAACGGUUUUGACUUAAAGUUAUUAUUUAUAGGGGUGCCAUGUAGGUUGUGCCUACCAGAGAAAACAUUGGUUUCUCCUUUUGGUUUGGGAGGGAAUGAGUCCCAUCUGGUCCGUCAAGUCUACACCAAUACAAAGGACUUAUGUAAAAGUCAGGAUGGAAAUACUCUUUUCAUAAACCCUUAAAACAUUGGAAAGAACUUCAAAAACAACUAUUCUUUUACAUGGGUUGUAUUACCAACAUAAAUGAUCACACACACAACAAUAUAGCAAAUAAUGAGCUCUGGUUCCUCCAGAAAUGUCCUGUUUCUCGGGCCUAAAAAGAGUCCAGGCCAGUGAAAAAGUUCAGGGAACUCAAGUGACCCUAGUUACGGUUUAUGCUACAAGUUUAGCGUAAACCCAGUAUCAAAUCAUAAAAUCAAAAAUAACUAUUAUUUUACCACACAACCAUCAAGCGUAUGAACCCUUAAUAAGUCCUCAACUACAACUACAUAAAUCACGGUAUACGUCACACCAAAACAAAUGAAAUACCGUAUACAAAAAAGAUAGUAGUCAGUCGGUCAGUCAGACAAUCCAAUCCGCCAACAGAUCUCCAGCUGCGAAUGUCCACAGAUCUCCUGCUGAGAAAGACCACGAACAACAACGGAGAGGUGUAGCCCACGGACGCAAAGAGUGGAUCCGAUCCUGGGUAAACUUGAUAUUAGGCUACAAAACACACUUUUAAAGGCAACAAAAUAAACGGAGUAGAGACGCUUCGGAACUCAGGGUUGAAAACAUCCUCAUUCUGUAACGAUCUUGGUGUAGUGGGUGCGAAGUCAGGCGCAGGAAACAGAGAGUUCAAGGUAGUGCUCUUUAAUGCACACACGGCGAACAUAGGCCACCCCACGAAACACUGGGCGCUCACAAAAACAAAUGCCCCAAACACGGGGACUAAAACAGUCCAGCAAAACCCACGAACAGGGGAAAAAAAAAAAACACGUUCGUCUCAAACAUGCACAAAUGUCACACAAACAAUCCCGCACAAAGAACAGGGG
Molecule: long non-coding RNA, 1106 nt
Organism: Oncorhynchus tshawytscha (Chinook salmon)
Lineage: Eukaryota; Metazoa; Chordata; Actinopteri; Salmoniformes; Salmonidae
Source: Ensembl